This is an unclassified non-coding RNA of Pogonomyrmex barbatus (red harvester ant), 4938 nucleotides long. Lineage: Eukaryota; Metazoa; Arthropoda; Insecta; Hymenoptera; Formicidae. The record is from RefSeq and is a predicted model, not a curated record.
UGGCGUUUUCCUCGGAACUUACAUUAAAUUUCAAUUCCCGUCAAGAGGCGUUCUACGUUUGCGGAAAAUUAUGUCCGCGGGAGAGCAGAACGCGCGAUGCUGUGCGUGACCUCGUCGGGAACUAUUGAACGACCACUAGACGAAAUCGCGGAGUAAUGAUCAACGACACGCGACCGAGACUGGCGACCACCAUCGCGGGUUACAGUCAGGCGAGUCGCACGUGUGAUCGUCGGCACGUGUCCGUGCACGACAACGGCAACGGUGGACCGUUGCUCUGGAUCGUUCUGCUUUGUUGCUGCGUCACGAUAACCUGCAGCACGAAGAUCGGCGGCGUAUCGUACAGGAAGGGCAUAAACGGACUUAAGGCAGCUUGGUUAAGAAAUCCGCCUCCGCUUCCGCAAAUGGGUUUCUGCGAUUUGGAGGGGCACUGCGAUUGGUUCUGGAACGAUACCUACGGUUUCCAGAAGGUCAGGGCGUUGCGAAGCAACUCGUUGAGGGCUUUUCCCACUACGGAUGCCAGCAACAACUCGAAUGGCCACUUUCUGUGGUUUACCGGCCCAGGGAACGUCCAAGUGUGGUCCAGAAAGAUCCCAUACUCGGGUCCGCAUUGCCGCGCUGAGUUCUGGCUUUAUAUGGUGGAAAUGGCAAACGGAUUCAUAAAUCUCGUUGUACAAACUAACAACACGAAGUCCAUCGCGUCGACGAAAGCCGGAAAUAACAGCGCUACAUGGAACAAAAUAAGUUUCUCCUUACGCUCGGUUGAGCAAACGUAUCAAUUAUUUUUAGAAGCCUACGUACCAUAUUCUAACGCGAGCAUUGGCGUUGACAACCUUCGCCUAGUUGAUUGCUUUCCAGAAGUCAUGCCGAUCGGCAAUUGUACAGACGGUAUGUUUCGGUGUAACAACGGCUCCUGCUUGAACAAGACCCGCGUCUGCGAUUUCACCUUAGAUUGCGCCGACGGCGAAGACGAGGGGUCCAACUGCGACAAGAUACCAGAGAACGCGAGGUGCAACUUCGAGAAGGGUUGGUGCGGGUGGACAAACGUUCCCGAGAGACCCUUAAACUGGACUCUUCACAGGGGCUCCACGCCGACCGACAGAACCGGGCCUCAUUACGAUCACACGUACCGCAAUGAAACCGGAACGUACGCGUACGUGAACAUGGCUUCGAAGAAAGCGGGUGUCAUGUACGGCAGUCGAGGCACCAUUUCGAGUCCUGUCUAUAAUCCGACACCACCUUACAGCAGCAAUCCUAAAAGCGAAUAUUAUCAAUCGUGUCAAAUACGCUUUUUCUACCACAAGUUCGGUGCGCAUAUCGGAUCUCUUGGGAUCUAUUUGGUCCAAGUAAAGCCAUACGGAAAUCAUAGUGAGAGGUUGUGGUGGUCCUUCGGAGCCAAAAACGACGUUUGGUAUGGCGAGGCCGUUCCUCUACCUAACAUAAGAUAUAGAUACUUCUUGCAAUUCGAAGCGUCCAGAGGAUAUUCUACGAAAGGUGAUAUAGCGAUUGAUGACAUUUCCCUGAGUCCAGAAUGUUUUGGCAUUGGAGUUCCACCGGAAGUUGUAGGCAACUUUAAUUAUUAUGAUCCUGUUAUUGAGUCUGAAAAGAUGCCGCCGCAACAUCCGGAUUUUGCAAACGAGACGGUCAUUCAAAUUACCACUUGUGGAGUUAACGGCAGGUUCGGCCCCACUGUUCAGGAUUGCGUUGAGAAACAUAAUAAUACAGACAUAGAAAUAGUUGUGCCAUCAACAACAGGAAAUCAGGAAGAGAGAAGUUUGAAUGGAGUCCAACGAUGGACUGCACCACGCGGCGAAUACUACACUUUAAUUGCUGUCGGAGCACGAGGAGGAAAGGGCUUUAGCAACAGCGGCGCCACUUUGGGUGCGCUUGUUCGUGGUGUUAUAGAGCUUCAGAAGGGCGAUCAGCUGUAUUUUAUGGUUGGUCAAGUGGGAACAGACGCCUGCCCAAAAAAUCUUGGCCUGAAGGUAGUCGUCUGUCGAUCGAAUCAAUCGGACGACUUGUCUUCAUCGACGUCGAAAGUGCGAGACGUAAAGAAUAUUGAAAUUAAGGAUCCUGGCGGUGGUGGCGGUGGUGCAACGGCCAUCUUCAUGAAAGCGAACGGCGAGUCGGAACCCAUCUUAAUCGCAGGUGGUGGCGGUGGUUUGGGGUUGAAUCCUUCUAUGGAUGAUGGAUUACAACAUGGACGCGGUCCUUUUCUUCCGAAUAGACCAAUCUCUUGGGCCGAUGUUACAGAACACAUGGGUGGACAUGGUGGUAGUUGGAACGGUACUAGUUUUCAACGAGAGGCCUCGGGAAUGUUAUUGAGUCGUGGAGGUAUAGGAGGACGCGGUUGCGAGACCGGAACCGAAGGUCAUGGCAACGGAGGCUUCGGUGGAGGUGGAGGUGGUUGCCGAUCGGGAGGCGGCGGCGGCGGUUAUAUUGGUGGUAAUGCUGGGCACGCGGAUUAUGCAAGUGGUGAAGGCGGUUACUCAUACGCCAACCGGAAGCUCACCAAUGUAUACUUCAAACCUGCAAUCCACGCUGGUCCGGGUGAGAUCUUCAUCAUACCCGCGAUCAGCGGUUGUGGAUGUGAUUACCGUUGCGUCGCGCUCGAUCAGUAUUUGAGCGAGACCAGGUGUCUCUGCCCUCAGGGUUGGCGGCUCAGUAACGAUUCCAGAUCCUGCAUCAUGACUGACGAUUCUAAGGAUGGACACCAAACGUAUGUCAUCCCACUUGUAGCUGUAGUUGUUGGCCUGUUCAUUAUCAUUGGAAUUUGCCUAAUAUCUUAUAAACGAUACCAAAACCAAAAGGCGCUUCUACGCCGCCGCCAAGUGAUGUUCGGCAACGGCACGGAAUUGACCGCGUUGCGUGCGGUGUCGGACACAAUGAUGACCGAAUUCAACCCCAAUUAUGAAUUUGCUGGAAAUCUCUACAGCUUCAAGGACUUGCCGCAAAUACCCCGCGAUUGUAUUACAUUAGUAAAACCCCUCGGCCAAGGCGCGUUUGGCGAAGUUUUCCAGGGCGUCUACAAAUACAGACGCGGCGAGGAGCACCCCGUCGCCGUAAAAACGCUACCGUCUUUAUCUACGACACAGGCAGAGGCUGACUUUAUGAUGGAAGCAUUAAUAAUGAGCAAAUUUAAUCAUCCUAAUAUAGUACACUUUAUCGGCGUCUCUUUCGAUAAACAUCCGAGAUAUAUCGUUCUCGAAUUAUUAGCCGGAGGCGACCUAAAAAAUUUCCUACGCGAAGAACGGCCUCGAUCAGAUCGGCCUACAUCAUUAACGAUGCUAGAUCUCAUUAUGUGCGGCUACGACGUCGCGAACGGCUGUAAAUACAUGGAGGAGGCGCGUUUUAUACACCGAGACAUUGCCGCUAGGAAUUGCUUGUUAACUACUAAGGCACCAGGACGUACCGUUAAAAUCGCAGAUUUCGGUAUGGCCAGAGACAUUUAUCGGAGCGAUUAUUAUAAAAAAGGCGGCAAGGCCAUGCUGCCCAUAAAGUGGAUGCCACCCGAGAGUUUCCUGGACGGAAUAUUCACGACGAAGACCGACGUUUGGUCCUUCGGUGUACUCCUGUGGGAGAUUAUGUCAUUCGGAUAUAUGCCCUAUACUGGAUGUGCAAAUCUCGAGGUCAUGUCGAUGGUUACGUCCGGCGGCCGUCUCGAGAAACCCGCGGGGUGCCCGGAUCCUAUAUAUGGGAUCAUGACGCGAUGCUGGCAUCCACGCCCUGAUGACAGGCCAAGUUUUUCCACCAUCGCCGAAAGGAUUGGCUAUUGCUUGCAGGACCCUGAUGUGAUAAAUCAACCUACGCCUAAUUUUGAUAUAUUGCCAAUUUGCGAUCGUGAAAUAACAAUCAUGAGACCGGAUUCGGAAGCGGAAUGCAUCAACGUGCGGUCUGAGUUGGACGGCUACAUGCAGCCGAGGGUUAUCGAUCCGCGAUCUGUUGCACGACGUGUGGAUCAAGCUAUGGGAUGCACCGCCUAUGAUUCGGAGAAUGAAAAAUCGACCGAAGACUGCAAGUUGUACGGCGGGAAAUCGACGGGAUGCCGGCAAGGAACGUACAGUUGCAAUACGUACAACUCUAGUCCGGAUGCCUUUGAGCAAGUGUAUAGCAACAACGAUCACGAUGAAGAUCAGGACGACGACGUGAUCGAAGAUUGCAAGGACAAAUAUAAGGUUGACCGUUCGGAUCAACAAGACAGCAGGGCAAUACAUCGAACCAGCGACAUCGAAGACCACGUAGACAAUGGCAACAACCGUCCAGAGGAUGAGUGUCAUCUGACUGCCAAUAAUGCAAUAACGAAUCGCAAAAACGGCAAUGAGAGCACAACGACUACCGACACCAACUCCGACUCUUUGAUAGCACAAUCCUCGGAUACCCCGCCCGAUACGACAAACUCAUCGCCCAACACGCGCACCUGUUCACCAAGCCGUACAAUCGGCCUCAAUGCCAACAUCAGCAACGUGAACGGUAUGGUGAAGAAGACCGCCCUGAAGGCAACCCUGAGUCUGGACCCGAGCGCGCUUUGCAGAGGCACCAUCCCCUAUGAGAAGAUCACAACGCAAGCGCAACGCUCGAGCACACCAGGCAGUAUGGAGCUAAGGAAGGUAACUUGACCUCCCCCUACAUCCGGCGUCCUGCAAAGUUUCCACCUGUACAUGAUCGUGGUCCUUGAUUGAAGGAUUCCCUGGGUCAUGAGCUACCGAGGGAGGAGGAGUGUUCCUGCUGAGAUUUAUCUGAGGGGGGUUGACGAGGCUGCCCGGCCGCGCUCGGCUGCAACACCACUCGUCGAUUGCAGCUGCAACGAUCGGCCACGAUGACUGCGGUCAUAAAGGACACGCAACUCGUAGAACUCUCCUCGCCUUUAUGGGCCCUGGACAACGAAUACUCGCGUCGUUUCCAUUCCGAGGAGACUCUCCUGUGAACGGGAAUCGGAGGGGG